AGCGCAACCCUUAUUGCUAGUUACCAUCAUUAAGUUGGGGACGUCUAGCGAGACUGCCAGUGAUAAACUGGAGGAAGGUGGGGAUGACGUCAAAUCAUCAUGCCCCUUAUGACCUGGGCUACAAACGUGAUACAAUGGCUGAAACAAAGGGCAGCGAAGCAGUGAUGUGGAGCGAAACCCAAAAAAGCAGUCUCAGUUCGGAUUGAAGUCUGCAACUCGACUUCAUGAAGUUGGAAUCGCUAGUAAUCGUAGAUCAGAACGCUACGGUGAAUACGUUCUCGGGGUUU
RNAcentral lists this ribosomal RNA (287 nucleotides) under uncultured Acholeplasma sp. RNAcentral describes it as "partial 16S ribosomal RNA". It matches the Rfam family "Bacterial small subunit ribosomal RNA", at positions 1095 to 1382 of the family's 1533-position model. Lineage: Bacteria; Bacillati; Mycoplasmatota; Mollicutes; Acholeplasmatales; Acholeplasmataceae. The record is from RNAcentral.